RNAcentral lists this ribosomal RNA (253 nucleotides) under uncultured bacterium. RNAcentral's name for it is "partial 16S ribosomal RNA". It matches the Rfam family "Bacterial small subunit ribosomal RNA", at positions 524 to 776 of the family's 1533-position model. The record is from RNAcentral.
UACGUAGGGGGCAAGCGUUGUCCGGAUUUAUUGGGCGUAAAGAGCGUGUAGGCGGCUUUACAGGUCCGUUGUGAAAACUCGAGGCUCAACCUCGAGACGCCGGUGGAAACCGUAAAGCUAGAGUCCGGAAGAGGAGAGUAGAAUUCCUGGUGUAGCGGUGAAAUGCGCAGAUAUCAGGAGGAACACCCGUGGCGAAAGCGGCUCUCUGGGACGGUACUGACGCUGAGACGCGAAAGCGUGGGGAGCAAACAGG